UUCCGGUUGAUCCUGCCGGACCCGACUGCUAUCGGGGUGAGGCUAAGCCAUGGGAGUCGCGCGCCCCGCCGCCGCGGGGCGCGGCGCACGGCUGAGUAACACGUGGCUAACCUACCCUCGGGACGGGGAUAACCCCGGGAAACUGGGGCUAAUCCCCGAUAGGUGAGGGGGCCUGGAAGGGUCCCUCGCCGAAAGGGACCUCAGGGGGUUAUCGCCUGGGGUCCGCCCGAGGAUGGGGCCACGGCCCAUCAUGGUAGUUGGCGGGGUAACGGCCCGCCAAGCCGACGACGGGUAGGGGCCGUGGGAGCGGGAGCCCCCAGAUGGGCCCUGAGACAAGGGCCCAGGCCCUACGGGGCGCACCAGGCGCGAAACCUCCGCAAUGCGGGAAACCGUGACGGGGUCACCCCGAGUGCCCCCGAAAGGGGGCUUUUCCCCGCUGCAAGGAGGCGGGGGAAUAAGCGGGGGGCAAGUCUGGUGUCAGCCGCCGCGGUAAUACCAGCCCCGCGAGUGGUCGGGACGUUUACUGGGCCUAAAGCGCCCGUAGCCGGCCCGGCAAGUCCCUCCUGAAAGCCCCGGGCUCAACCCGGGGAGCGGGGGGGAUACUGCCGGGCUAGGGGGCGGGAGAGGCCGGGGGUACCCCAGGGGUAGGGGCGAAAUCCGAUAAUCCCUGGGGGACCACCAGUGGCGAAAGCGCCCGGCUGGAACGCGCCCGACGGUGAGGGGCGAAAGCCGGGGGAGCGAACCGGAUUAGAUACCCGGGUAGUCCCGGCUGUAAACGAUGCGGGCUAGGUGUCGGGCGGGCGUUAGUGCCCGCCCGGUGCCGCAGGGAAGCCGUUAAGCCCGCCGCCUGGGGAGUACGGCCGCAAGGCUGAAACUUAAAGGAAUUGGCGGGGGGGCACACAAGGGGUGGAGCCUGCGGCUCAAUUGGAGUCAACGCCGGG
Molecule: ribosomal RNA, 941 nt
Filed under: uncultured archaeon
Lineage: Archaea
Description: bacterial SSU rRNA
Rfam family: Archaeal small subunit ribosomal RNA
Source: RNAcentral